Molecule: long non-coding RNA, 420 nt
Organism: Manis pentadactyla (Chinese pangolin)
Lineage: Eukaryota; Metazoa; Chordata; Mammalia; Pholidota; Manidae
Exons: 3
Source: RefSeq, a predicted model, not a curated record
GCCUUUCUAUCCAAAACCCUGAUUAAAGAACUCUGUUCCGCAGGCCCGAUCUCUGCUAAGAAAAGAUCACUGCUAGUAUUAUACCCUUCACUUCAAGACAGAAACUGGAGAACCUAGGAGACUAGGGGAGAGAUAUGAUAUGUGGUCAUGUUGAGAACAUUUAUAAAGCCUUAGGAUAUUUAGAAGGUGGCCUCACUGAGAAAUAUUGGAACAGCAUGCAAUCUGCCAAAAUGACUCUGAGAAACUAGACAUCAACAAAUUGAAACAAAGAAAAGUGGACAUAAUUUGGAACCCAAAUUCUGAUAUCCAUCUCCUUGGAGACAGCUGGGUGAAAUAGACAGGUGUCUUUCUUUCUGAGCACACCACGCACUUAAGAACAGGAGGCAUCUCCUUACGACAUAUGGAUUCCAAACAUGUUCU